This 1047-nucleotide ribosomal RNA is filed under the name Biston quercii. Its description in RNAcentral is "partial 16S ribosomal RNA". Lineage: Eukaryota; Metazoa; Arthropoda; Insecta; Lepidoptera; Geometridae. The record is from RNAcentral.
UUAAUAAUUAUCAUAUUUAAUAAAAAUAAUUUUAAUUUAAUAAAUAUUUUAAUGGGGGUUAAAGUAUUAUUUAAAGAAAAAAUUUUUAAAUUUAUAGUUAAUUAGUAUUGUGAAAGAAUUUUGAAAUAUUAUGAAAAUUAAAAUUUUAAUAAAGUAAUUUUUAUUUAUUGUAUCUUGUGUAUCAGAGUUUAUUAAAAAUUUUUAAUUUAUAAAUUAAUUUCUCGAAUUUAAAAGAGUUAAAUAAUUAUUAAAGUUAUUGUAGCAAAAUUAUUUUAAAUAAUUAUUUAGAAAUGAAAUGUUAAUCGUUUUUAAAUAUAUCUAGUUUUUAUAGAAAAAAAUUUAAUUUUAAAUUUUUAUAUUAUUUAAUUAAUUUAUUAAUUAAAUAAUUAUAAAAAUUUUAUAAUUUAAGGGAUAAGCUUUAAAUUAGAUUUUUAUAAUAUUAAAUUUUUAUUUUGAAAAUUUUAUAAUUUAUAUUGUUAAUAAAUUUUAUUUUAUUAUAAAUAAUUUCAUUUUUUUUAAAAUUUAAAUUUUAUUUAAUUUUUUAUAUAAAAUUUAUUUAUAAUUAUAUAAAUUUAAUUAUAAUGAUAAAAUUAGUAUAUUAUUUAAUAUAAAAUUAAAAUUAAUUUUUAAUUAAUAAUUAAAUUAAUUAAAAGGAAUUCGGCAAAUAUUUAUUUUCACUUGUUUAUCAAAAACAUGUCUUUUUGUUUUUAAUUUAAAGUCUAAUCUGCCCACUGAUUUAAAAAAAUUGAAGGGCUGCAGUAUAUUGACUGUACAAAGGUAGCAUAAUCAUUAGUCUCUUAAUUGGUGACUUGUAUGAAAGAUUGGAUGAAAAAUAUACUGUCUCUUAAUUAAUAUGUAGAAUUUAAUUUUUUAUUUAAAAAGUUAAAAUAAUUUAAAAAGACGAGAAGACCCUAUAGAGUUUAAUAAGUUUUUUUGUAAGAGUUUUAUUUAUAAUUAUUAAUAAUUUUAUAAAUUUUUUUAUUUUAUUGGGGUGAUAAAAAAAUAAAUUUAACUUUUUUAAAUAAUUUACAUAAAUAAAUGAUUAAU